UCCAUGUGUUGGGAUUGUCUGGUCUUGUUU
Molecule: non-coding RNA, 30 nt
Filed under: Mus musculus (house mouse)
Lineage: Eukaryota; Metazoa; Chordata; Mammalia; Rodentia; Muridae
Source: RNAcentral